UCAGUACCGUGAGGGAAAGGCGAAAAGAACCCCGGGAGGGGAGUGAAAUAGAUCCUGAAACCGCAUGCUUACAAAAAGUCGGAGCCCUUUGGGGUGACGGCGUACCUUUUGUAUAAUGGGUCAGCGACUUACAUUCAGUGGCAAGCUUAACCGAGUAGGGAAGGCGCAGGGAAACCGAGUCCGAACAGGGCGAUUUCAGUCGCUGGGUGUAGACCCGAAACCAGGUGAUCUAUCCAUGGCCAGGAUGAAGGUGCCGUAACAGGUACUGGAGGUCCGAACCCACUACUGUUGCAAAAGUAGGGGAUGAGCUGUGGAUAGGGGUGAAAGGCUAAACAAACCUGGAAAUAGCUGGUUCUCUCCGAAAACUAUUUAGGUAGUGCCUCAAGUAUCACCAUCGGGGGUAGAGCACUGUUAUGGCUAGGGGGUCAUCGCGACUUACCAAACCAUUGCAAACUCCGAAUACCAGUACGUACUAUCCGGGAGACACACGGCGGGUGCUAACGUCCGUCGUGAAAAGGGAAACAACCCAGACCCACAGCUAAGGUCCCAAAUUCACUGCUAAGUGGAAAACGAUGUGGAAAGGCAUAGACAGCCAGGAGGUUGGCUUAGAAGCAGCCACCCUUUAAAGAAAGCGUAAUAGCUCACUAGUCGAGUCGGCCUGCGCGGAAGAUGUAACGGGGCUAAAUCAUUCACCGAAGCUGCGGACUUGUGCUUGCACAAGUGGUAGAGGAGCGUUCUGUAAGCCGUUGAAGGUAAACCGGGAGGUUUGCUGGAGGUAUCAGAAGUGCGAAUGCUGACAUGAGUAACGAUAAGGGGAGUGAAAAACUUCCCCGCCGAAAGACCAAGGGUUCCUAUCCCAUGCUAAUCAGGGUAGGGUGAGUCGACUCCUAAGGCGAGGCUGAAAAGCGUAGUCGAUGGGAAACGGGUUAAUAUUCCCGUACUUCUAGUUACUGCGAUGGGGGGACGGAGAAGGCUAGGCCAGCUUGGCGUUGGUUGUCCAAGUUUAAGGUGGUAGGCUGAGAUCUUAGGUAAAUCCGGGAUCUUAAGGCCGAGAGCUGAUG
Molecule: ribosomal RNA, 1061 nt
Filed under: Aurantiochytrium limacinum
Lineage: Eukaryota; Bigyra; Thraustochytrida; Thraustochytriidae
Description: partial Bacterial large subunit ribosomal RNA
Rfam family: Bacterial large subunit ribosomal RNA
Source: RNAcentral